This 843-nucleotide ribosomal RNA is filed under the name Streptomyces sp. Its description in RNAcentral is "bacterial SSU rRNA". It matches the Rfam family "Bacterial small subunit ribosomal RNA", at positions 56 to 914 of the family's 1533-position model. The record is from RNAcentral. Lineage: Bacteria; Bacillati; Actinomycetota; Actinomycetes; Kitasatosporales; Streptomycetaceae.
UGCAGUCGACGAUGACCGGUUUCGGCCGGGGAUUAGUGGCGAACGGGUGAGUAACACGUGGGCAAUCUGCCCUGCACUCUGGGACAAGCCCUGGAAACGGGGUCUAAUACCGGAUAUGACACGCUCCCGCAUGGGAUGUGUGUGGAAAGCUCCGGCGGUGCAGGAUGAGCCCGCGGCCUAUCAGCUUGUUGGUGGGGUGAUGGCCUACCAAGGCGACGACGGGUAGCCGGCCUGAGAGGGCGACCGGCCACACUGGGACUGAGACACGGCCCAGACUCCUACGGGAGGCAGCAGUGGGGAAUAUUGCACAAUGGGCGAAAGCCUGAUGCAGCGACGCCGCGUGAGGGAUGACGGCCUUCGGGUUGUAAACCUCUUUCAGCAGGGAAGAAGCGAGAGUGACGGUACCUGCAGAAGAAGCGCCGGCUAACUACGUGCCAGCAGCCGCGGUAAUACGUAGGGCGCAAGCGUUGUCCGGAAUUAUUGGGCGUAAAGAGCUCGUAGGCGGCUUGUCGCGUCGGAUGUGAAAGCCCGGGGCUUAACUCCGGGUCUGCAUUCGAUACGGGCAGGCUAGAGUUCGGUAGGGGAGAUCGGAAUUCCUGGUGUAGCGGUGAAAUGCGCAGAUAUCAGGAGGAACACCGGUGGCGAAGGCGGAUCUCUGGGCCGAUACUGACGCUGAGGAGCGAAAGCGUGGGGAGCGAACAGGAUUAGAUACCCUGGUAGUCCACGCCGUAAACGUUGGGAACUAGGUGUGGGCGACAUUCCACGUCGUCCGCGCCGCAGCUAACGCAUUAAGUUCCCCGCCUGGGGAGUACGGCCGCAAGGCUAAAACUCAAAGGAAUUGAC